UACGUAGGUGGCAAGCGUUGCUCGGAUUUACUGGGCGUAAAGGGCGCGUAGGCGGACAGUUAAGUUGGGGGUGAAAGCCCGGGGCUCAACCUCGGAAUUGCCUUCAAUACUGGCUGUCUUGAGUGUGAGAGAGGUGUGUGGAACUCCGAGUGUAGAGGUGAAAUUCGUAGAUAUUCGGAAGAACACCAGUGGCGAAGGCGACACACUGGCUCACUACUGACGCUGAGGCGCGAAAGCGUGGGGAGCAAACAGG
This 253-nucleotide ribosomal RNA is filed under the name uncultured bacterium. RNAcentral describes it as "partial 16S ribosomal RNA". It matches the Rfam family "Bacterial small subunit ribosomal RNA", at positions 524 to 776 of the family's 1533-position model. The record is from RNAcentral.